AGAGUUUGAUCCUGGCUCAGGACGAACGCUGGCGGCGUGCUUAACACAUGCAAGUCGAGCGGGGAUCGAGUUUGGAAGGCUUCGGCUGGAAGGGCUCAAUUCUAGCGGCGGACGGGUGAGUAACGCGUGAGCAAUCUGUCCCACACAGGGGGAUAACACUUGGAAACAGGUGCUAAUACCGCAUAAGACCACGGGGUCGCAUGGCUCUGAGGUAAAAGAAAUUCGGUGUGGGGUGAGCUCGCGUCCCAUUAGCUAGUUGGUGAGGUAACGGCCCACCAAGGCGACGAUGGGUAGCCGACCUGAGAGGGUGAUCGGCCACAUUGGAACUGAGACACGGUCCAGACUCCUACGGGAGGCAGCAGUGGGGAAUAUUGGGCAAUGGGCGCAAGCCUGACCCAGCAACGCCGCGUGAAGGAAGAAGGUUUUCGGAUUGUAAACUUCUGUCCUAAGUGACGAAUAAAGUGACGGUAGCUUAGGAGGAAGCCCCGGCUAACUACGUGCCAGCAGCCGCGGUAAUACGUAGGGGGCGAGCGUUGUCCGGAAUGACUGGGCGUAAAGGGCGUGUAGGCGGCUUUUUAAGUGUGAAGUGAAAGUCCUGCUUUCAAGGUGGGAAUUGCUUUGCAAACUGGAGAGCUUGAGUGCGGAAGAGGUAAGUGGAAUUCCCAGUGUAGCGGUGAAAUGCGUAGAGAUUGGGAGGAACACCAGUGGCGAAGGCGACUUACUGGGCCGCAACUGACGCUGAGGCGCGAAAGCGUGGGGAGCGAACAGGAUUAGAUACCCUGGUAGUCCACGCUGUAAACGAUGAAUGCUAGGUGUAGCGGGUAUCGACCCCUGCUGUGCCGCAGUAAACACAAUAAGCAUUCCACCUGGGGAGUACGGCCGCAAGGUUGAAACUCAAAGGAAUUGACGGGAGCCCGCACAAGCAGUGGAGUAUGUGGUUUAAUUCGACGCAACGCGAAGAACCUUAUCAGGAUUUGACAUCCGGAGAACUCGGCGUAAUGGCUGAGGUGCCCUUCGGGGAAUUCCGAGACAGGUGGUGCAUGGUUGUCGUCAGCUCGUGUCGUGAGAUGUUGGGUUAAGUCCCGCAACGAGCGCAACCCUUGAUCUUAGUUGCCAGCAUUCAGUUGGGCACUCUAAGGUGACUGCCGGUGACAAACCGGAGGAAGGUGGGGAUGACGUCAAAUCAUCAUGCCCCUUAUGACCUGGGCUACACACGUGCUACAAUGGGUGGUACAAAGGGCUGCAAAACCGCGAGGUCGAGCAAAUCCCAUAAAACCACUCUCAGUUCGGAUUGCAGGCUGCAACUCGCCUGCAUGAAGCUGGAAUCGCUAGUAAUCGCGGAUCAGCAUGCCGCGGGAAUACGUUCCCGGGCCUUGCACACACCGCCCGUCA
RNAcentral lists this ribosomal RNA (1392 nucleotides) under uncultured bacterium. RNAcentral describes it as "bacterial SSU rRNA". It matches the Rfam family "Bacterial small subunit ribosomal RNA". The record is from RNAcentral.